Molecule: long non-coding RNA, 543 nt
Organism: Vitis riparia (riverbank grape)
Lineage: Eukaryota; Viridiplantae; Streptophyta; Magnoliopsida; Vitales; Vitaceae
Exons: 3
Source: RefSeq, a predicted model, not a curated record
AUCAAAAGAAGGAAAAAGAAAACAAACGAAGAAGGGAGAAAAAUUAUGUCUUUGCCAAAUGAGAGUCGCACUCUCACAAAGGCUUUCUCUGGAAUACUUGGAGUUGACGAGAAAUCAAUGAUGGAGAUCUUAGUAAAAUGGCAUCCAAAAGACUUGACAACUUUUAGGAAUGAAAGUUCUUCCAUCUUUCUUAAGGAUAAAUAAUUCUUGUUUGCGAGAUGGCAAGAUUAUCAUAUUGCAUUUCUAGUAAAGGAAUUUCUGCGUUUUCAGGAUGUUGUGGUGCAAUGGACCAUGCAUCCUUGGGAAAGAGAUGCUCGCAUGGUAAGGAAGGCUUUGAACGGACACCCUCAAGCAUAUGGCUUACUCAUUGAACUUGCAUGCAUCAAAUCAUCAGACGAGCUCUUGGAAGCUAGGAAAGCAUACUAGUCCCUCUACAGUGAAUCCAUCGAGGAAGAUGUUGCUUCCUGAGUUGAAGGCAUCAAACGCUAGGUUAAUACUACUUUUAGUUAUGUUUUUAUUUCUUUUUUUCUUUUUUGCAUCAAA